UUACGAUCAUAUGAAAUUGAAACCCCGGUUCCCGUACAAUCACCGAAGUUAAGCAACAUCGAUCCUGCUCAGUAUCUAAAUGGGUGACCACUUGGGAAUACCAAGAGUUGUAAG
Non-coding RNA from Acanthosepion pharaonis, 114 nucleotides. NCBI's taxonomy places the organism in Eukaryota, Metazoa, Mollusca, Cephalopoda, Sepiida, Sepiidae. The record is from the annotation of a GenBank genome assembly.